GGUCUAAUACCGGAUAUGACCCGUCACCGCAUGGUGGUGGGUGGAAAGAUUUUUUGGUUUUGGAUGGACUCGCGGCCUAUCAGCUUGUUGGUGAGGUAAUGGCUCACCAAGGCGACGACGGGUAGCCGGCCUGAGAGGGUGACCGGCCACACUGGGACUGANACACGGCCCANACUCCUACGGGAGGCANCAGUGGGGAAUAUUGCACAAUGGGCGCAAGCCUGAUGCAGCGACGCCGCGUGAGGGAUGAAGGCCUUCGGGUUGUAAACCUCUUUCAGUAGGGAAGAAGCGAAAGUGACGGUACCUGCAGAAGAAGCGCCGGCUAACUACGUGCCAGCAGCCGCGGUAAUACGUAGGGCGCAAGCGUUAUCCGGAAUUAUUGGGCGUAAAGAGCUCGUAGGCGGUUUGUCGCGUCUGCCGUGAAAGUCCGGGGCUCAACUCCGGAUCUGCGGUGGGUACGG
RNAcentral lists this ribosomal RNA (461 nucleotides) under Actinobacteridae bacterium 17-02PB. RNAcentral's name for it is "bacterial SSU rRNA". It matches the Rfam family "Bacterial small subunit ribosomal RNA", at positions 160 to 635 of the family's 1533-position model. Lineage: Bacteria; Bacillati; Actinomycetota; Actinomycetes. The record is from RNAcentral.